Molecule: unclassified non-coding RNA, 302 nt
Filed under: Porogramme epimiltina
Lineage: Eukaryota; Fungi; Basidiomycota; Agaricomycetes; Polyporales; Polyporaceae
Description: Tinctoporellus epimiltinus partial contains 5.8S ribosomal RNA, internal transcribed spacer 2, and large subunit ribosomal RNA
Source: RNAcentral
CGCACCUUGCGCCCCUCGGUAUUCCGUGGAGCAUGCCCGUUUGAGUGUCACGUUGAACCUCACCCUUGUGGCUUUCUUUGACUGCCGCGAGUGGUGGACUUUGGACCGUGCCGGCUGCCGGCUCGUCCUGAAAUGCAUUAGCCGGCCCUGCUUAGGAGGCCCUUGGCUAGCGGUGUGAUAAUUAUCUGCGCCGUGACCUGCCUGGGAAAUCCUUCUGUUCUGUGCUGCUUCCAGUCGUCCCUCUGUAGGACAUCUUUUAAUGCUCUGGCCUCAAAUCGGGUAGGACUACCCGCUGAACUUAA